Molecule: long non-coding RNA, 178 nt
Organism: Perognathus longimembris pacificus (Pacific pocket mouse)
Lineage: Eukaryota; Metazoa; Chordata; Mammalia; Rodentia; Heteromyidae
Exons: 3
Source: RefSeq, a predicted model, not a curated record
ACCGCUCCGUGGUGUACUAUCAGGUCAAGCAGCCGCGCUGGAUGGAGACCGUCAAGGUGGCCGUGCCCAUUGAAGACAUGCAAAGGAUUCACUUGAGGUUCAUGUUCCGCCAUCGUUCCUCCGUGGAAUCUAAAGACCGAAGCGAGAAGAACUUUGCCAUGUCCUAUGUGAAGCUGAU